Molecule: long non-coding RNA, 447 nt
Filed under: Panax ginseng (ginseng)
Lineage: Eukaryota; Viridiplantae; Streptophyta; Magnoliopsida; Apiales; Araliaceae
Description: long non-coding RNA (PGIN_LNC014435)
Source: RNAcentral
UGAUGUUACUGAAUAAUGUUUGAAGACAUUCAGAUAGAACUUCCAUUUCCAUAUUACAUUGCUCUAACAAUAACCAAAACAAAAUGGAUCAAUAGUACUAGCAGAAAUCCUAUCUAAUAAACAUCCACAAGUCUUAGAGACCAUGUGUGGAAAACAAAAAAAAGAAUUUGUCCUUAAAAACAACUAAACAAAUAGAAACUAAGCAUCUCCUUUGCAUAAUAUGAUCUCCACAUGGGGAGAAGAGCUUCAAGCACUUAGAGAGAGAUCAAUGGAGAUAAGGGUGGCCGACGAGUGAGAGAGAGAGAGAUCACCGGGACAGUGAGUGAGGUUUGCGGACUGAGGGAGAUAGCUCCUGCUAUCGAUUUGUGCCCAAGCUUCCAGGCAAUUAAACCCAUAAGUUCACGAAAAUGUUUCAGAAAUUAAAAUUUCAACCAGCGCACUCGAAAG